Molecule: ribosomal RNA, 373 nt
Filed under: uncultured organism
Description: partial 16S ribosomal RNA
Rfam family: Bacterial small subunit ribosomal RNA
Source: RNAcentral
GUAGGUGGCAAGCGUUGUCCGGAAUUAUUGGGCGUAAAGCGCGCGCAGGUGGUUUCUUAAGCCUGAUGUGAAAGCCCACGGGCUCAACCGUGGAGGGUCAUUGGAAACUGGGGAACUUGAGUGCAGAAGAGGAAAGUGGAAUUCCACGUGUAGCGGUGAAAUGCGUAGAGAUGUGGAGGAACACCAGUGGCGAAGGCGACUUUCUGGUCUGUAACUGACACUGAGGCGCGAAAGCGUGGGGAGCAAACAGGAUUAGAUACCCUGGUAGUCCACGCCGUAAACGAUGAGUGCUAAGUGUUAGGGGGUUUCCGCCCCUUAGUGCUGCAGCUAACGCAUUAAGCACUCCGCCUGGGGAGUACGGCCGCAAAGGCUG